RNAcentral lists this ribosomal RNA (405 nucleotides) under Trombewingia bakeri. RNAcentral describes it as "SSU rRNA". It matches the Rfam family "Eukaryotic small subunit ribosomal RNA", at positions 622 to 1026 of the family's 1831-position model. Lineage: Eukaryota; Metazoa; Arthropoda; Arachnida; Trombidiformes; Trombiculidae. The record is from RNAcentral.
CGGUGAAGAGCUCGUAGUUGGAUCUCAGCUCACGCUAAGUGGUCCACUUAAUGGUGGUUACUACUUAGCUGAGCAUUUUACAGAUUUGUCUCUUGAUGCUCUUCACCGAGUGUCAAGAGUGGUCUGUACGUUUACUUUGAAAAAAUUAGAGUGCUUAAAGCAGGCAACUCGCCCGAAUAAUCUUGCAUGGAAUAAUGGAAUAGGACCUUGGUUCUAUUUUGUUGGUCUCCGGAAUCUGAGGUAAUGAUUAAGAGGGACAGACGGGGGCAUUCGUAUUGCGCCGCUAGAGGUGAAAUUCUUGGACCGGCGCAAGACGAACUACAGCGAAAGCAUUUGCCAAGAAUGUUUUCAUUAAUCAAGAACGAAAGUUAGAGGUUCGAAGGCGAUCAGAUACCGCCCUAGUUU